GGUAGUCCACGCCGUAAACGAUGUCGACUUGGAGGUUGUGCCCUUGAGGCGUGGCUUCCGGAGCUAACGCGUUAAGUCGACCGCCUGGGGAGUACGGCCGCAAGGUUAAAACUCAAAUGAAUUGACGGGGGCCCGCACAAGCGGUGGAGCAUGUGGUUUAAUUCGAUGCAACGCGAAGAACCUUACCUACUCUUGACAUCCAGAGAACUUAGCAGAGAUGCUUUGGUGCCUUCGGGAACUCUGAGACAGGUGCUGCAUGGCUGUCGUCAGCUCGUGUUGUGAAAUGUUGGGUUAAGUCCCGCAACGAGCGCAACCCUUAUCCUUUGUUGCCAGCGGUUAGGCCGGGAACUCAAAGGAGACUGCCAGUGAUAAACUGGAGGAAGGUGGGGAUGACGUCAAGUCAUCAUGGCCCUUACGAGUAGGGCUACACACGUGCUACAAUGGCGCAUACAAAGAGAAGCGACCUCGCGAGAGCCAGCGGACCUCAUAAAGUGCGUCGUAGUCCGGAUUGGAGUCUGCAACUCGACUCCAUGAAGCCGGAAUCGCUAGUAAUCGUAGAUCAGAAUGCUACGGUGAAUACGUUCCCGGGCCUUGUACACACCGCCCGUCACACCAUGGGAGUGGGUUGCAAAAGAAGUAGGUAGCUUAACCUUCGGGAGGGCGCUUACCACUUUGUGAUUCAUGACUGGGGUGAAGUCGUAACAAGGUAACCGUAGGGGAACCUGC
RNAcentral lists this ribosomal RNA (726 nucleotides) under uncultured bacterium. RNAcentral's name for it is "bacterial SSU rRNA". It matches the Rfam family "Bacterial small subunit ribosomal RNA", at positions 789 to 1515 of the family's 1533-position model. The record is from RNAcentral.